This 375-nucleotide ribosomal RNA is filed under the name uncultured prokaryote. RNAcentral describes it as "bacterial SSU rRNA". It matches the Rfam family "Bacterial small subunit ribosomal RNA", at positions 524 to 896 of the family's 1533-position model. The record is from RNAcentral.
UACAUAGGCUUCAAGCGUUGUCCGGAUUUAUUGGGCGUAAAGAGUUCGUAGGCGGUCGAGUAAGUCGGGUGUGAAAAUUCUGGGUUCAACCCAGAGAUGCCACCCGAUACUGCUUAACUUGAGUUCGAUAGGGGAGUGGGGAAUUCCUAGUGUAGCGGUGAAAUGCGCAGAUAUUAGGAGGAACACCGGUGGCGAAGACGCCACUCUGGAUCGAUACUGACGCUGAGGAACGAAAGCAUGAGUAGCAAACGAGAUUAGAUACCCUGGUAGUCCAUGCGGUAGACGGGGGGCACUAGGUGUGGGUUUCUAUUAACGAAAUCCGCGCCGUCGCUAACGCAUUAAGUGCCCCGCCUGGGGAGUACGGUCGCAAGACUA